UCAUGUUGAAACAUUGGUUCCCAUAGGAUCACUGAGGUUAAGCAACAUCAAGUCUGGUCAGUACCUAGAUGGGUGACUGCUUGGAAAUACCAGGUGCUGUAA
Non-coding RNA from Acanthosepion pharaonis, 102 nucleotides. The record is from the annotation of a GenBank genome assembly. Lineage: Eukaryota; Metazoa; Mollusca; Cephalopoda; Sepiida; Sepiidae.